This is a long non-coding RNA of Sorghum bicolor (sorghum), 1942 nucleotides long. RefSeq lists it as uncharacterized. The transcript has 2 exons. NCBI's taxonomy places the organism in Eukaryota, Viridiplantae, Streptophyta, Magnoliopsida, Poales, Poaceae. The record is from RefSeq and is a predicted model, not a curated record.
CCCACCAUAAAAUGCUCCCACCGUAAAAAAUGCAACACCGGUGCUGACACAGUGAAGCUCUAUGCCGCCAAUGAUCCUGCCAGCAUCCAAGCUCUCGCACUCGCACCCGACCCGCCGCCACGCUGGCCUACCUGUUCCCUAAACCCUAGGUAUCCCGCGAUGCCGCGUGCGCUGCAGCUGCAGCAUACCCCGCUGCGGGACGUCGCGGUGAGGCGCCCCAAGAAUCGACGCCGCGGGGACGGCUGUCCCUGCCGCCGACGGCUAAGGGGACCGAGCCCGUGACGCCCGCCGAGGCGACGGCAACGGAGAAGAAGUGGAGAGUAAGCCUCGGGCCCGAUUCGUCCAGGGCGUUGUCGCGGAGCACACGCCAGGCGAAGUAGGUCGAGCACGCAGCCGAGAUGGAGGAGCACGAAUGUUGGUCGUGCUUCACCCACAGGGAGGCCCUCAUGGACAUGGAGAAGGGCAGGUCAACCUGUAUCCUGCGUCCCCCUCGCAGGAGAACCUCAACGGCACUCCUCUCUCCAUCGAAGGCUUUCUAUUCGCACUAUCGUCUCGAGCUUUUGACCGACACAUCAAGCUGGCCUCGAUCGAGAGCAGCCUGGCAGAAGAUACAUAAGUUCAAUCCAUGGCAGUGGGCUUCAGGAUGUUGUCAUCACAAGUUCUUGCUUUGUGGCUACUCAAAUUCUCAUAUUAAACUACUUUAUGAUUACUGUAGAGACAUGGUGUAAUUUUAUAAAAAAAUGCCAUGUAGAAGUUUCAAUCUUCACAAACUGUAGAGCUUUUCUUCAUGGAGAUGUUAUUUCUUAGUGUUUAUAGCUGUCUCCAGCAGUAUGUUAAAAUAUCCCUUUUGUGGGGCAAUCUGUUAAAUAGUUUCUUUAAAGCAUGUUUCAACAGAACAUGACAAUUUGCCAAAACCUAAUCACUCUAUCAAUGUAUGACAAACAACUAGAUACUACUAGGAAAAACACUCCUGCAUCUCUGCGAUGACAUGAUUCAACAGGAGAUAGGUCUCAUCUUUACACUCAGUUAAGCAAUGGUUCAGACAUUGGAAUUUGAAGCUUAGUUAACAUUUCAUUUCCAUCCUUGUCGUUUGAUAUGCUCAGGUCAUGCACUUGUUCUUAUGGAAGAAAAUUUAAAUUAAUUAUUCAUAUGUUCCCAAUAUGCUAGGAUCUUGACUUGCAAUGUGAGGAGUUAAUCCAGGAAGAAUCUGGCCUUCACUGCAAUGUUGAGGUCAUGCACGUGCGUUGCAAAGAUAAUAUAUGUUUCUCUAACACUGGAGUAUAUUGCCAUCAGUUUUCCUUAAUAGCUAUCAGUUUUCCUUAUACCAUGUUUUGUACAUAGGCCAGAGGCUCAUCUUUAGCAGUUUUAUUUUGGAAUUAUUGCUCAAGAUAUGGAAGUGUCAGUUUUCUGCUUGUUCUAUACACCCUUGCAGUUAUUAGGCUUGUGCUUCUUACCCUGUAACUCAGAACAAGAUGAGAAAGUGCUAACAUCAUUUCUUCUUCUUGCUCGACACAUACAAGUACUGGAGGUUGAGCAGCAGGUCAUUAGAGUUCAGGAACACCUUGUUGGCUAUGGCUUAAAUCGUCUGAGAGAUCUCCUUACACCUUCAAUCUGCUUCAGGGCAAGGAAGACAACAUUGUUUGCUAUGGCUUCAACAAUCAACUCGGCACUCUUAGCUGUGUUCAUAACAAUCUUUCAUAACAAUGUAUUCAGUUCUAAGUCCCCCAGGUCAAUUAUGUUUUAGCAUUUUUGCAGCACUUUGGUUGUUGCUGCCUGCUGGUCCUUUAUAUUGUAAGCCUCCUAGCAAGAAAAUUAAUGGCAUUUUUAGCCAAAACAACAUCCUGGGCGGGGAACACAUGAUCUGUUUUUUUCCUUAGAAAGUGUCUUGUGUUGUUGUACGUUUUCAUAAUCAAAGAUGGAUGCAUAUCUGAGUUACUGAUCA